Molecule: ribosomal RNA, 495 nt
Filed under: uncultured bacterium
Lineage: Bacteria
Description: partial 16S ribosomal RNA
Rfam family: Bacterial small subunit ribosomal RNA
Source: RNAcentral
GACGAACGCUGGCGGCGUGCCUAAUACAUGCAAGUAGAACGCUGAAGGAGGAGUUUGCUUCUCCGGAUGAGUUGCGAACGGGUGUGUAACGUGUAGGUAACCUUCCUGGUAGCGGGGGAUAACUAUUGGAAACGAUAGCUAAUACCGCAUAACAGUAGAUGUUGCAUGACAUUUGUCUAAAAGGUGCAAUUGCAUUACUACCAGAUGGACCUGCGUUGUAUUAGCUAGUUGGUGAGGUAACGGCUCACCAAGGCGACGAUACAUAGCCGACCUGAGAGGGUGAUCGGCCACACUGGGACUGGGACACGGCCCAGACUCCUACGGGGGGCAGCAGUAGGGAAUCUUCGGCAAUGGGCGGAAGUCUGACCGAGCAACGGCGCGUGGGUGAAGGAGGGUUUCGGAUCGUAAAACUCUGUUGUAAGGGAAGAACGGGUGUGAGAGUGGAAAGUUCACGCUGUGACGGUAUCUUACCAGAAAGGGACGGCUAACUACGUG